RNAcentral lists this long non-coding RNA (207 nucleotides) under Marmota monax (woodchuck). The record is from RNAcentral. Lineage: Eukaryota; Metazoa; Chordata; Mammalia; Rodentia; Sciuridae.
ACAUCAAUGUUUAUAGCAGCUCAAGUCACAGUAGGUAAACUGUGGAACCAACCUAGAAGUCCUUCAAGAGCUAAAUCGAUAAAGAAAAUGAGGUAUAUGUGCACAAUGGAAUCUUAGCUUUAAAAGAGAAUAAAAUUAUGACACUUGCAGGUAAGUGGAUGGAGUUGGAGAAUAUUAUGUAAGUGAAAAAAGCUAAUCCUCAAAAAC